AAGGUAGCGAAAUUCCUUGUCGGGUAAGUUCCGACCUGCACGAAUGGCGUAAUGAUGGCCACGCUGUCUCCACCCGAGACUCAGUGAAAUUGAAAUCGCUGUGAAGAUGCAGUGUACCCGCGGCUAGACGGAAAGACCCCGUGAACCUUUACUACAGCUUGGCACUGAACAUUGAACCUACAUGUGUAGGAUAGGUGGGAGGCUAUGAAGACGUGACGCCAGUUGCGUUGGAGCCGUCCUUGAAAUACCACCCUUGUAUGUUUGAUGUUCUAACUUAGACCCAUUAUCUGGGUUGAGGACAGUGCCUGGUGGGUAGUUUGACUGGGGCGGUCUCCUCCCAAAGAGUAACGGAGGAGCACGAAGGUGGGCUAAUCACGGUUGGACAUCGUGAGGUUAGUGCAAUGGCAUAAGCCCGCUUAACUGCGAGAAUGACGGUUCGAGCAGGUGCGAAAGCAGGUCAUAGUGAUCCGGUGGUUCUGUAUGGAAGGGCCAUCGCUCAACGGAUAAAAGGUACUCCGGGGAUAACAGGCUGAUACCGCCCAAGAGUUCAUAUCGACGGCGGUGUUUGGCACCUCGAUGUCGGCUCAUCACAUCCUGGGGCUGAAGUCGGUCCCAAGGGUAUGGCUGUUCGCCA
This 634-nucleotide ribosomal RNA is filed under the name Vibrio cholerae. Its description in RNAcentral is "partial 23S ribosomal RNA". It matches the Rfam family "Bacterial large subunit ribosomal RNA", at positions 1953 to 2586 of the family's 2925-position model. Lineage: Bacteria; Pseudomonadati; Pseudomonadota; Gammaproteobacteria; Vibrionales; Vibrionaceae. The record is from RNAcentral.